This 580-nucleotide ribosomal RNA is filed under the name uncultured bacterium. Its description in RNAcentral is "bacterial SSU rRNA". It matches the Rfam family "Bacterial small subunit ribosomal RNA", at positions 102 to 668 of the family's 1533-position model. The record is from RNAcentral.
ACGGGUGAGUAACACGUGGGCAACCUACCUUAUAGUUUGGGAUAACUCCGGGAAACCGGGGCUAAUACCGAAUAAUCUGUUUCACCUCAUGGUGAAAUAUUGAAAGACGGUUUCGGCUGUCGCUAUAGGAUGGGCCCGCGGCGCAUUAGCUAGUUGGUGAGGUAACGGCUCACCAAGGCGACGAUGCGUAGCCGACCUGAGAGGGUGAUCGGCCACACUGGGACUGAGACACGGCCCAGACUCCUACGGGAGGCAGCAGUAGGGAAUCUUCCACAAUGGGCGAAAGCCUGAUGGAGCAACGCCGCGUGAGUGAAGAAGGAUUUCGGUUCGUAAAACUCUGUUGUAAGGGAAGAACAAGUACAGUAGUAACUGGCUGUACCUUGACGGUACCUUAUUAGAAAGCCACGGCUAACUACGUGCCAGCAGCCGCGGUAAUACGUAGGUGGCAAGCGUUGUCCGGAAUUAUUGGGCGUAAAGCGCGCGCAGGUGGUUUCUUAAGUCUGAUGUGAAAGCCCACGGCUCAACCGUGGAGGGUCAUUGGAAACUGGGAGACUUGAGUGCAGAAGAGGAUAGUGGAAUU